RNAcentral lists this ribosomal RNA (748 nucleotides) under Escherichia coli. RNAcentral describes it as "partial 23S ribosomal RNA". It matches the Rfam family "Bacterial large subunit ribosomal RNA", at positions 2183 to 2925 of the family's 2925-position model. Lineage: Bacteria; Pseudomonadati; Pseudomonadota; Gammaproteobacteria; Enterobacterales; Enterobacteriaceae. The record is from RNAcentral.
GAGCCGACCUUGAAAUACCACCCUUUAAUGUUUGAUGUUCUAACGUUGACCCGUGAUCCGGGUUGCGGACAGUGUCUGGUGGGUAGUUUGACUGGGGCGGUCUCCUCCUAAAGAGUAACGGAGGAGCACGAAGGUUGGCUAAUCCUGGUCGGACAUCAGGAGGUUAGUGCAAUGGCAUAAGCCAGCUUGACUGCGAGCGUGACGGCGCGAGCAGGUGCGAAAGCAGGUCAUAGUGAUCCGGUGGUUCUGAAUGGAAGGGCCAUCGCUCAACGGAUAAAAGGUACUCCGGGGAUAACAGGCUGAUACCGCCCAAGAGUUCAUAUCGACGGCGGUGUUUGGCACCUCGAUGUCGGCUCAUCACAUCCUGGGGCUGAAGUAGGUCCCAAGGGUAUGGCUGUUCGCCAUUUAAAGUGGUACGCGAGCUGGGUUUAGAACGUCGUGAGACAGUUCGGUCCCUAUCUGCCGUGGGCGCUGGAGAACUGAGGGGGGCUGCUCCUAGUACGAGAGGACCGGAGUGGACGCAUCACUGGUGUUCGGGUUGUCAUGCCAAUGGCACUGCCCGGUAGCUAAAUGCGGAAGAGAUAAGUGCUGAAAGCAUCUAAGCACGAAACUUGCCCCGAGAUGAGUUCUCCCUGACUCCUUGAGAGUCCUGAAGGAACGUUGAAGACGACGACGUUGAUAGGCCGGGUGUGUAAGCGCAGCGAUGCGUUGAGCUAACCGGUACUAAUGAACCGUGAGGCUUAACCUU